Molecule: long non-coding RNA, 4123 nt
Organism: Bombus terrestris (buff-tailed bumblebee)
Lineage: Eukaryota; Metazoa; Arthropoda; Insecta; Hymenoptera; Apidae
Exons: 2
Source: RefSeq, a predicted model, not a curated record
ACGCGGCCGCCUUCGAUCUUGGUUUCAAUCGAAUCAGCUGACCACCGGCAAUGGCGUGAACUGACUCGACGUUUCGCCGCGUAUUGUCGAGCUAUAGCUCGAAUUCUUUAACAAGCAUGAUACCGAGCAAAGGAAUUCAACCAAUUCGUUAGACAAAUGGUACGCCGAUCAUAAGGGAUGCAGUGUUUUUCUACCAACAGAUAUUAAUUAGUGCGCGACAUAAAUGUCGUAUGUGUGAAAUUAGUUUCUAAACUAAUGGACGGGAGAUAUGAGCAGUAAUAUUUUUACGUAACCCGAAUCUUGCCGACUCCAGCAGGUUAAGAAAGGUGUUCACUCAUCAAAUGAGAUGGCUACGAAACCAGUCGGCGGUCCAAGGAUAAUGGCGGCUGAGGAGUCGAGGAGUCGAGGAACUGAUAUCGGUGCAUUGGCCACGGUAAAUUCUCUUGGUAAUUGGCGAGCAGCGAGAGCUACAGCGAAGACAUCGAUGGAUAAUGCGGCGCGGAGAACGUAAUAGGCAACACGGCGCGGUUCAUGGCAUAACCUAUGUACGCUGUGGUAAAUUCUCUCGGUAAUUGCGAACAAGAGGCAGAGGGUGUGGGUGCUGAUGGAAUCCCGAGGGAAGGAUAAUGGCCGGAGAACGUUUCGCCGCGACACAAAGCGGCGAGUUUGCUGGUACUCGACCGGACAGAUCCGUUCUCCGCGUAUGCUAACAAACGGAAUUACAAGCCUGCGAUAUUAUGAUAUCGGAUACCCUCGAGGAAUACUUUGUCCGACGUGGAAUUCUAUCCUCGCUAAACUUCGCCCUCCCUGGUGUAAUACCGUGAAAAACAUCGAAACGUAUGAGCAUAAUAACCGCGACACGGCGGUCGUCGAUGAGAGUGAGAAGCAAUUCCCCGUGAAAUCGAUGGAUAAGUCGCGAGCCGCCGUUCAUGCCAGCACCGAUACGCGAUUUAUAUUAUAUUCCUAAACUUAGCAUAAACACGGGACGCUAUGAUUGGCCGUAUAACGGAUGACAAGCAUCACAAGCGAAUUCCUGUAAUAAUUGCGAGGCAGAAGUGCAGCGCGGGUGCACUUGGAAUCCCGGAGAAAGGAUAAUAGCCGUGGAACGUGUCCAGUCACGGUUUGUAUCGUAUUCCUUGAAUAUUGGACGAGCACGUACCACUCGAGCUAUCGGUUUUAAUACGCCGCGCGAACAUAAUUUAACCAUCCGACUGUCGACGGAUAAAAUAUCGUCGACUGGCUUACACGAACGCUUGUAAUCCGGCCUUUUAAAGGAACAGUACCGGCGAAUUAAAGCCGCGAAUACCUAUGCGAUCCGGUUAAAAGGGGGAUUCUGUUGGCGAAACGAUUUGUUCCGCGCGACAUACGUUGUAUCAGCGAAGUCGUCUCCUUCCUCGGAAAAUAUUGUAAUAAUUCGAACAAUCGUACGGUAAAAAAUACGCGAUGGCCGAUCUGGUUAGUGUCAGAGAGAAACAACUCGAAUUUCCGAUAAUUGGAACGAUCACCGAGCAGGUUUCUCUUUUACUCGGAAUGCUACAACCCGAAAGUCAUACGAAUUUUAGCGAAAUAAUUUGCAUUGCAGAAAAAGAUCAUUGUUUUCGGUUGGGAAAAAUUAGUCGUAAAAAUUUGAAUUUAAAUUUUCAAAUCUUUAAACCUUCGAGGAGAUCGACUGGAGAUCUAGCACAAGGAGCAUAAAUAACUCGAAGCUGUAAUCGUGAACAAAGAAACGAUCACGACCUCCUAUUCCAAACGAUAAUGGAAAAGCUAGGGAACCGUGAGGUAAUUCAUACUCUUUUUUACAAGAGUACCGACUCGAGAGGUUUCCUCAAGCCGCACCCUGCGCCACCCAAACGUAAUCUCGGUAAUAUUUCUAACCGAGCCCUUGACGCCGAGGUUGAGAUUGGGGGCGGAUAAAUUACGGGGCGUAAACUGCAUCCUGACAGUAAAUUACUCGAUAGCGGUAGACGAUACCGUGGAACGUGGCGCCUACGCGUGAAACUACAUCUACUUCCAUAAUCCUAGGACUCCUGAUCCGCAGGAUUCCUGCGAGAAUGUUACGAGGAUACCAUCGCGAUUCCUAUCUUUUGUCCGAUAAAUUUCCUUUUUUCUCGCGGUUCUGAGAGAUCUCGACGUCGAUCGACCGAGAAAAACGAUGGUUUAAUUGCCUGAAUAAUAUUAUAUUCUUAAUUUCGACGCAUAGGACAGAAUCUAUUCCAAUUUGUCCGUGACUGAAAGAGCGAGAACAAAUCGGAGAGAGAUUGAAUAAAUUUGAAUACUCGUAGCGGCAGGCACGUGGCUGCGCUCAGCUGUUUUCAUGGAUAACAUCUUCGUCAUCCCGUGUAGCGGUGUAUUUCUAGCGAGAAAAAAAUAUCGAAACCACCGUCGAAGGUCGGAUUCCAGUGAAUCUCUGCAUUCUAUUAACGUGUUAUCGCAGCUGUAUCUUCGGGAAGUUACGAUAAAGGUCCACUGGCGGAUGGCGCCAUUCAGCGACGUAUAAUCGUUAUACUCUCUCGUGUUGUUGCAACAAGAUGAUUCAAUCAUACGUUAAAUGUCGCCGAUGCUAACAUUUCUUUAUUUUUCCAAUUUUUCGAUAGCUUUUCAAGUAGCUCGUAAGAAAUGCGUCAAGUCGUAAGCUAAGAUCUCAUAGGAUCUUCUAGAGUGAACGUAACUGAAUCGAACGUCACUCCUAUAAUUUUUACAAAAGCAUCGAUUUCCCAACCGGUAUAAUUAUAUAUCGCUCGCGGUAUCAAAGUUCACAGGCGGCUAGAACCAACGGCGGAUGUACGUUAGAGCGUGCGCGUUCCUUGUUAACCGAUGGGAAUAGAUUUCUGAUUCUAUCCACAGUCGCGGCGGGCGUCUCUUGUGCUAAGAGAGCACCGCCAGCAAACGAUUUCGCAAAUGGAUCGUUUCCACGGCGAGCCCAUCAACCGUGUUACCGAAAUCUACCACGGUGCUGUUAAUAUUCUCCUUUGUCUGCAUCUAAGUCAUCUUUGAAUCGAAUCGUUUCCUUCAUUUAAUAAUUGAGAUUAAUAAAUCGAAUCUCUUCUGAUACGAUCAUCACGAUUCACUGAGGCACGAUCGAUCGUCAGUUUUGCAAUAAAUAUGUUAGAGAUCGUUUAUUGUCGAUCGAUUCGCGUUUACUCGAGAAUCGACAGGAUUCACCUUCCACCGAAGCUUUCGUUUCCCUCGCGAGAACGUAAGAAAAUGAUUUCGUUGUGAACAGACGAUUUGUUACGGCAAGUAAUUUUUGGCAAUCAGUAAACAGCAUUGUUACUUGUUACUCGAUUACAAGCGGUUUCUGUUGAUUGUCCGUUUCAACGAUCGACGGGGAGAAACUCUUGCAAUCGAGGUGCUGGUAGGUGGAUUUCGCAUGCGAAACAACCGUUUUGCGAAAUCCUGUUACGGUGGCCGCAGACUUCAACGGAGGCGCCUAGGUGAAUCGACGAGAAUUAACAACCGCGAAAUUGGAUUGAAUUUAUUAGUACCGGAUUACGACGAAACAUUUCAAACAAUCAAAUUGGAAAUCUGCGAGUUGUCCUAAAUAAUUCUUAGUCAACGUGAUAUGCAAGAUCAAAAAAAAAAAAAAAAAAAUGGAUAAAAGAAGAAAGUAUAAAGAAAUCCCAUUUGGAAACUAGAAUGAUAUUUCCUUACGAAAAUGUUAAAAAUAUUUAAAAAGGUAUCGAGUAUUCUCGGCAUCUCUCGAUAAGAACCGCUAACGAGUAGCAGAUUUUUCCCAAAGCAGUUCAAGCGAAUUAAACCAAACUGGCUAUUCGAGGAAGCAUUUUAGAACGUGUCACCGUAUUUGGGGUUCGAUCGAGAAGGGAACCGCCGUGAACGUCGAGAGAGAAAAAAGGAUCAUGCGCACCCUUGGGGCACGCCCUCAGGGAUCAAAAGCAUUUUGCUUGAUUUCCGCGUGUACCAGUUAUUCAACGAUCCAAACAUUACGUAAACUGACAUUUUCGCGGCUAACUUAAACCAGUCAAAGAGUGCGCUAAUCGGUGUUUCACCAACUCGGACAGAAUUAUUAGCAGAAUUAAUCUUUUUGGAAACUUUCUUCGCAGCGUUCUCAUUGAAUAACGAAUAUUUUAUCUCGUAGUGUAAAUAUUAAAUAAAUGAACAAGUA